UACGUAGGGAGCAAGCGUUGUUCGGAUUUACUGGGCGUAAAGGGCGCGUAGGCGGCGUUGUAAGUCACUUGUGAAAUCUCUGAGCUUAACUCAGAACGGCCAAGUGAUACUGCAGUGCUAGAGUGCAGAAGGGGCAAUCGGAAUUCUUGGUGUAGCGGUGAAAUGCGUAGAUAUCAAGAGGAACACCUGAGGUGAAGACGGGUUGCUGGGCUGACACUGACGCUGACAGCGCGAAAGCUAGGGGAGCAAGCGGG
This 254-nucleotide ribosomal RNA is filed under the name uncultured bacterium. RNAcentral describes it as "partial 16S ribosomal RNA". It matches the Rfam family "Bacterial small subunit ribosomal RNA", at positions 524 to 776 of the family's 1533-position model. The record is from RNAcentral.